ACGCACGCUGGCGGCAUGCCUCACACCUGCCAGUCGCACGAUGCCUUCGGGCAUAGUGGCGCACGGGUGAGUAACGCGUGGGAACCUGCCCUGUGGUACGGAAUAACUCCGGGAAACUGGAGCUAAUACCGUAUGUGUCCCCUGGGACAAAGAUUUAUCGCCACGGGAUGGGCCCGCGUAGGAUUAGCUUGUUGGUGGGGUAACGGCCUACCAAGGCUACGAUCCUUAGCUGGUCUGAGAGGAUGAUCAGCCACACUGGGACUGAGACACGGCCCAGACUCCUACGGGAGGCAGCAGUGGGGAAUAUUGGACAAUGGGCGCAAGCCUGAUCCAGCAAUGCCGCGUGAGUGAUGAAGGCCUUCGGGUUGUAAAGCUCUUUCGCACGCGACGAUGAUGACGGUAGCGUGAGAAGAAGCCCCGGCUAACUUCGUG
RNAcentral lists this ribosomal RNA (432 nucleotides) under uncultured bacterium. Its description in RNAcentral is "partial 16S ribosomal RNA". It matches the Rfam family "Bacterial small subunit ribosomal RNA", at positions 29 to 507 of the family's 1533-position model. The record is from RNAcentral.